AUUGAAGGGCAAGUCUGGUGCCAGCAGCCGCGGUAAUUCCAGCUCCAAUAGCGUAUAUUAAAGUUGUUGCGGUUAAAAAGCUCGUAGUUCGAGUUCAGUUUCGGACUGGGGUGGGAGGUCACCGCCCGGUGCUUCCCCUCUAGGCUCCGAACAGUUUCCUUUUAGGAAGCCAAGCCGGUUCUGGCGGGGUGCUCUUUACCGAGUGUCCCGCGCGGCCGGCCAGUUCACCUUGAAUAAAUGAGAGUGCUCAAAGCAGGCUACUCUGGAAUACAAUGCCCGAAUGUUAACUGCAUGGAAUGAUGGAAGAUGAUCUCGGUUCCAUUUUGUUGGUGGUGGGAGCCAGAGGUAAUGAUAAACAGGGACUGUCGGGGGCAUCCGUACUACGACGCGAGAGGUGAAAUUCAGUGACCGUCGUAGGACGAACAACAGCGAAAGCAUUUGCCAAGAAUGUCUUCGUUGAUCAAGAACGAAAGUUAGAGGAUCGAAGGCGAUCAGAUACCGCCCUAGUUCUAACCCUAAACGAUGCUGACUAGCAAUUCGCCGUCGUUAUUCCCAUGACGUGGCGAGACGCCCCCGGGAAACCUCAAGUUUUUGAGUUCCGGGGGUAGUAUGGUUGCAAAAUUGAAACUUAA
RNAcentral lists this ribosomal RNA (632 nucleotides) under Macrobrachium fukienense. RNAcentral describes it as "bacterial SSU rRNA". It matches the Rfam family "Eukaryotic small subunit ribosomal RNA", at positions 547 to 1147 of the family's 1831-position model. Lineage: Eukaryota; Metazoa; Arthropoda; Malacostraca; Decapoda; Palaemonidae. The record is from RNAcentral.